This 75-nucleotide transfer RNA is filed under the name Actinoplanes sp. TBRC 11911. It matches the Rfam family "tRNA". From Rfam's summary of the family: Transfer RNA (tRNA) molecules are approximately 80 nucleotides in length. Their secondary structure includes four short double-helical elements and three loops (D, anti-codon, and T loops). The record is from Rfam by way of RNAcentral. Lineage: Bacteria; Bacillati; Actinomycetota; Actinomycetes; Micromonosporales; Micromonosporaceae.
AGCAGGGCAGAGCAGUUCGGAGUGCUCGCGGGCCUCAUAAGCCCGAGAUCGCGGGUUCAAAUCCCGCCCCUGCCA